AAUGCAUUGUUAGUCACAAUGUCUAGUUACUGGGCCAAAAGGAAAAUAAUAUUGAAAAGAGUUGAGAGGGACAAACAGGACAUUCACUUGAAUCACUACAUGCUACAGUUGCAUCGAUUCCAGAAAACCAGGAAAAUAUUGAGCCAUCUGUAGACUUCUGAGCUGAACCAGGUUUCUCCCCAGUAAUCCAGACUCCACUUCACAGAGCCAAGAGUUUGAGUACAACUCGUCAAGUACUAAGCUUUACACCACCAGCAGCAAAUUUACCCUGGCAGCAUAUGGGUGAAAACGCUGGAGGAGAAAGUCAUCGCUUUGUUAUUGACCCUUGGACGCCCCUGGCAUCUCGUGGACAGCACAAAGUUUUCAGCUAUGAAGAUUUCCAGUGACUCCAGAAUGAAAACUAAGCUCUGAGGGAAGAGAACCAAGCCCUGAGGGAAUGCAAUGCACAAGCAGCUUCAGAUGACAGCGGCUCACUUCAAGAGCAGGUGAAGCAAGUAGGCACAAUGUUGAAGACGUUUGCUCUCACUGGGCAAUCAGGUGCGUUACCUGAAAGGAGCAUCUGACUGUGAAGGCAGAAAAAGCCGCACAGCUGAGAAGGACCCACAACCGAUCCCUUAAACCUAGGCUGACCACUGACACCCCAGCAUCACUGAACUGGAACACUUUCUUUAUCCUGCAGUCAGUAACAUCAAGAAGCCAGAAGUGCCAGACUACACUCACCAAAUCCACCCUGUUUUCUUUUGUAUUUUAACUUUAGUAUUGGCUUAUUUCAUUCCGUCUUAACGAUUCUAUUAUAGUUUGUGAAUCCUAUUUCAUACCUGUUACUUGAUAUUGCACAUUAACUACUACCAAAAUUCUACUUCCAUUUCAUCAGUGUGCUUAACUGUUAUUCUAUUAAUAAUAGCUUGGAAAUACUAUUUCGUACCUCUGAUACUUGAUAUUGCACAUUACCUGGUACCAAAUAUUCUACUUACUCUGUUUUUAACAUCAGCAUUUUUCAUUCCAUCACAGUGCUUAACUGUUAUUCUAUUGUUAAAUAUAGCUUGUAAAUCCUUGUGCCACAGGUCAGCAUUGCAGUUAUAAUGGUCUGUUCUACUACUGUUUUUACCUCCGUAUUUUUAUAUAAAUAUAUAUGUCAAGUUUUGUUUAUCACAGAUACAAGAGACACAGAUCUUAUUGCAGCACGGUGUAAAUCUUGUGCUCCAGGUCAGCAAUGCCAUUAUAACGGUCUAUUCUACUCUACUGCUUUACUCUAAAUUAUUACCACUUUUCCUAUUGUUAGAAAUGGCUUGAAAAUGUGAUGUUAUACCUCGAUUUAUUUGGUAUCCUGCACAUUCUUUGGUACCAAAUAUCCUCAUUACUUAUGUUUACUGGUAAUUAUUUUCAUCCCAGAGCUGACCUCUUUAUAUAAUUGACAAUUAUUGUGUUUGUGUUAUAAUUUGCUUAUAUGGCUGUUUUUUUUUAACCAACAUUUUAUUGGAAACCUGCAUGUUCUGUAGUGUGUAUUUAUAAGUAUAUUUUAUUCUGCCUGUUAUUUAUUUCAGUGAUCUGACACAUCUUGUUUGAAUGACAGUUACUGUACUUUGAAAUGUGGAAUUAAAACACCA
Long non-coding RNA from Esox lucius (northern pike), 1607 nucleotides. The record is from Ensembl. NCBI's taxonomy places the organism in Eukaryota, Metazoa, Chordata, Actinopteri, Esociformes, Esocidae.